GUUCGCACAUGAGCAUUUAUUUUGCCUUGGCAGCCUUAUUAUCAAAAUAAUAAGAAAAUGAGAGUUCAGAAUUACACAGCAUUUUUUUGUGAAGAUUAUACACACAUAGUUUAAAACUUGGCUUACUCUCUCUGGCUUACCUCACAAAACUACAUUCCCACUACUCAGCAGCUGAGCACAGAUGGAAGACAGGAUUCAGCAGCAAUCUGAACCAGAAAGUCCAGCUGCUUUAAGUGUAGGUGUGUGUUUGUGCUGAGGUGGCAGCUGAGUGGUCAUGGGACAACAGGGCAGCCUUGCCCUCAACCCAGAAGCAGAACAGAGCUGGGCCCUCCAGCACUCCUCCCCUGCCAGCACAUUUUCAUCAGAGGCCAGACACGAAGCACAUCAAAACCUACAUGAAUAACAGAACUCCAGUAAGGCCAAGACAACACUGCAGAGGCAAGUGCCAGCGUGCAGACACCGUCCUCAGUGAAAGCUGACUGCAACACACAAACCCCCAUCCCACGGUGUCCUUGCAUUGGGCUGUGACCACUGCUAUGGGUGGGGACUCCCACCAGCAAUAGUGACCUUAAUGACGAGUCAGAGACCAGAGAAAGCCCUCUGUAUUUGACAACGGUUUCUCAGCAGCUAAACUUUAUAUUGCAAAUAAACUAAAUGAGUCAUCAAACAGCUUGAGUGAAGCUCUCUUAGUCUUCACCAAAGUGCUAAUUCCACCUCUCCCCCAGUUUGUUGAGUCAGAAUAUCUCUCCCUCCAGCCCUGCUCUGCUGUACACAAUCCAGAGAGGAACUGCAGUGUUAAUUCUCCUAUCACCUCUUCCAUGCCUUCAGCCAAAUGUCCUCACCUUACCAUAUGAGUCAGACUUUUGAUUAUUUUUUUCCCGUGAAAGGGAUUUAGUGGAUAAACCCUCAUUAAUAUUAUAAUUCUUAUUAAGAAUUGUUUGCUAACGAGAGAUCUGUGAAACACAUAACUAGGCUAACUUGUACAGUGCUUGUUCUCAGCAAUACCUGUACUGUGAAGUUUUGGUGUCCAUCAAUUAUCCAAAGCACUGGUACAAAUCUGGCAUAAACAGGCACAACCCCAGUUUCACAGACUUAAGGAGACAGAGGACAACUACAUUGCCAAAAUCCCAUCUUGGCUUCCUAGACUGCUGCAAGCUAUUAACUUCUCACUUUUUCCAGCCGCAAACAGGCAGCUGCUGAAACCUACUUCUAUUAGGAUCUUCCCACAGAGCAAAAGGUGGGUGGGCAAUCCUGCUCCACCUGCUGUGGAGCUGAGCUGCCUCCUCUCCAUGAGCACUGAGCAGUCACACACACCAUGGUAGUGACAGCAUGCUCCCACCAAUCUUCCGGUGCAUGACUGAUGAAGCAAAGACCCUCUCCAGAUGUCUGCGUGGUGCUGGGAACUCGAGCAGGCUCAUGAUGCUUUAGGUUCCCUGAGUAACAGGUCUCACAUCACUGACACAUAGCAACAGGGGCAGCUAAAUGCUUGCUGCUUUUUGCCUUGCUUUUCCAGAGAGCCUUUUAGAUAAAUGGUUCUCAGAAGAUCACAAGCAUAUCAGAGAUGACAGAGGCAGAACACAAAAGCAAAACAAAUCAGCUCAGUCAUGUCCAUGCUGGUCCUCUCCAUGGCUUCCAACUCUCCACAAUGCAUCUUGUACCCACAAGCACUAAAGUGCACAAGCCAGGUCAGUGGGUCUGCAAGAAGCCAGGUCCAUGAUACCCCGCCUGUGAGCAUCCCUUCAACUCCAGCAUGGGUGGGACAGCAGAAGUAAAGAAGCAGAACAGGGACUCUUCCAGCCAGGGGCAGAGGAAGUUGAAUUCAACAAGGCAGAAGCAUUGACAAUUUUUAAGUGAGGAACUGAAUACAAAAACAGGAAGAAUUGCAGUACAACUUCUAACUGGAAAUGGCCCUUACUCUGCACUUUUUACUUCAACCAACCUGGCUGCUGCACUGCCUGAAGCAGUGGCUUACACUUUGUGUGUUAUCGUGCUCCCAACCAUUCAGUUUCCAUGUUCCACCCACCUGUAUGUUGAGGUCUGCAGCCUGAUCCCCUUUUGCCAUUAACCUGGCAGCCAAACUAGCCAUAACUGAACCAAAAGGAGAGGCUGUCCAAUGCCAAGGAAAGACUUCCACAAAGUUCCAUAUAUUCUUUGCAGAAAACAGAUUUAAAGGCAGGCUAAAUUUAAUUAUUUGUAUAACUGGAAUAUCCUUGUUACAGGACUUGUAACCAUAGCAAUCACUUAAACAAAGCUUUGAAGAAAAUAUUCCCUAGUUAUUAAAAUAUUGAUUCUAGAUCCUGAUUCAGUUUCUCAAUCUUUCUUAUUUCUGACCUCAGAGGUGCUGUCUGCCUCCAGGUCUUAUAAAAUAAAUGGAAAUGGAAGCGCUCAGCUCAGAGACACCAAGUAUCCUCAGCUAGUACUUGUGUCUUGUGCCAAUAGAAUGAUGCUUCCUAAAUACACAAAUACAAAAGGAUCAGGUUGUCAUGUGGGGAUUUGGAUGUUUGCAAACAUAAAAGUAAUCAGCUAGCAGGGAUGCUUCUCAGAACAAGUCUCAGGAAAUUAAACUGAGCCUACAUUAAUCACAUUGCAAACAGAAAGUAUUCCUUCAGUUGGGGCCAGACUAAUUUAAAAGCUCAGGCACUGGGAAAAAAAUUAGGGGGAAAAGGCUGAAGUAUCUGGCAAUUGGCAAUAUACAUUAAGGUCCCUUGGUAUUAUGGCUGAAUUAUCUUCUAUCUCCACAGACUCCAUUCCACAGUUAUGACUCUUGUAUUAAUAAGAGUCAUGCAGGCAUCACACAAAGGCAGCAUUGAUUUGUUAUUCUGUAACUCUAUCUGGAUAACCAGGGAGAAUUUGUUUUGAAGAUUCAGCCAGAGCCUUUUACUUUUUUCAGCUGCCUAUUGAAUGAGUAUGUAGCCAGGAAAAUGGGACACAGAAACUGUAAGAUGGAUGUGAUCUGCACACACAUUUUUCUCACAAGAAAACAAGUACAGUACAUGUUUAACAAAAGGCAGUAGCUCCAGGGUUACAUUAUAUAAUGGAGCUGAAUACAAACUCUUCAAUAUACAGCAUCCCAGGAGGUACAUUAGGAAAGGUACAAGAAGGAAAGUAUUUUCUUCAUGUGAGGAAGGAGACAGUUAUCUUCUUGAAACAUGACUUGAGAGUCCUUCCUGGAUGCCACCACAGCUGGUUUGGCUCUGAAAAGUAGCCCAUGUGAAUUUCAGAUCAGAUGGUCUGUGGAUUAAGGAGCUAUACCAGCUGCUUUAGCUUCUCUCCACAUCCCAGUUAUCUUGGUUGGACAUUACUGAAUGAAAAGCAAACGUGCAGGAAGCCCAGCGACUAACAGAUAUUUAAGGCCAAAAAUUAUUCUUGUACCUAAAACACUACAGAAGCAGCUGUUCUGUUUUAUAUGUCCAGGUUCAAAAGGAACAGAAAUUGCUUCACAGAAUACUGUCAGAAUAGAAAUCAAAUACAAAUGUAUCUGUGUGAAACCUGGGCAUGUAUUUUUAGGUGCACACACCCACACACAUACGCAGCCUGAAUAGUUCACUCCCCUCCUCUGACACAAUCAGGGAUGCCUUCAAGAGGAAAAUGAGCCCAGACAUGUUCCUAACCCAAUCUGCCUGUGCCACCCCUAUUUUAACUACAUACUGUAUCAUGUAAUGGUUUGAAAAUCUUAUUUCCGUGACUUUUUCCUUCCUUUACAUUCUCACAGUAUUACUCUGUUUCUUUUAGCAACACAGUAACACAGCAGAUCAAACCUGAAACUCUGCAGUUUAGUGCUCAGUACCAAAGACUGCAGUAAUUAUGCUAGGGGAACAGUCUCUACAAAACAUUAGUUCUCAUUUAGUUUUCCCACACUGGUUUAAGGCUUAAACCAUAACCUAAGACCCUUCCUCAAAGUAUCAAUAUGGAAUCACUGCAGUCACUUGCAAUCAGCUGAUGGCAGCUAUUUACAUUCCCAUCCCAUAGGCAGAUACUCGUAUUUUAAGCAGCAGUUAUCCAGAAGGUUUUUCACAAUUAACAUACAGGUCGUCAGUUUCAAGGUUAUUCAAACCAUUCGCAGUAUCUUCUUCCAAAAUUAAACCUGCACAGCUACAGUGGGCUCUUAACGAGUCUUUCCAAAUCUCCAAAUCCCACCCCAUGCCUCCUGAACUGUGGCACUCCUUCUCUCCCAGAAAUAUUUGCUUUACCUUUUGUAUGUCCAGAUGGCCUUGAUCACUUGUAUCCUUCCUGAACUUCUCUGUGGCAAUACAGAAAGGCUGAAAAAUCAUGUUAUAAGUGUAUGGAGCAAGGUUUGCCAAAAUGGAAGAUUUCAUGAUUAGUCAGACUGCUGAAAAACCUUAGACAGGAAGCAAAGAUUUGCAGACAGGUUUCAGCAAUGAAGCGUUCUGUCAUAACAUGGGAAACCCUUCUGCCCUAGGUCCUACCCUGUUGUGUUCUCCCCUCCAGAAGCUCUUCUGGUAUUUCACAGGCAUCACAGGGUACUUUUCCAUUAACAGACUCCACCGAGAAGUGAAGGAUUUCAGCACUCUGUUCUCCAUUCAGCCCCACAGGCAGCAGCUGGCACAGCAGACUGGCAUUCCUAAAACUGCUCCUGCAGGACUGGCUGUGCUACAGGAGGAGCACUUCUGACAUCAACAAAGUGAACAGGACUUCAGUGUGGCAGGGUGACACAUCACAUACACCCCACCAUGACCCCUGUAGUACAACAGCCUUCAAAAUGACAACAACAAAGCUCCAUUGUAACUGACACCAAAAACCUGGUUUACUGUGCCCUUUAAACUUAAAGCAACUGGAGUAAUUCAAUAAAGAGCAAGUGUAAGAAAAAGGGAAAGAACCCACACCAUCAGCUGUCUGGUAUUUAUUACUUUUUAAUACAGAGAACUCACAACAAAAUAUUCUCUAACAACACAUGUAAAUUAUAUCAUAACCAAUUAUUUUAAUUUCAUCAACAUUCAUUUGCUAUGUACAUAUUCUUCCAUCUGCAAAAGUGCAAUCCAAGAAUGUCUCAACAAGAAACCUUUAUGGACAAGUAUAUUUUUGAGGGGUUUUCUCACCAGUGACCUUACAACAUGUUUGUCCUUGGUUACUUGGUACAGCAAAAUGAGGAAUACAUGGGAGGGAGAAAAAAAAAAGGAAAAAAGAAAAAUAUCGGGCUAGAUGCCUCCCUUGUAGGAAUAUUCAUUAUUUUUCCAAUUAAACUCAUUAUGAAUACCCAGCUCAUUACUGGAGAUGUUAAUGUAAAUAGACUAUAGGAUAGUCUGUGGUCUGGCUAUAAAACACUGUAGUUUUAAUUACUGCAGCAUUAGAACAACAACUUCAGGCUGUUCACGUUGGUCAAUGUCAAGUUACACAUUAGCAUGUAAAAGUUGUCUAUUUUGUUAGUUAUGGUUAUCAAAAUUUAUUUGUAGACAUCUUAGUGAUGAAUGAAUUCAGCUUUACACAUCCAAAAUAUGAAGUCUCCCUAAAUGCAAGCCUCUCCUAUGGAAAGGAAAGUUAACUACUGGAAAGAAAAGCAUUUGCACAUGCAACUCCUACUGCUAUCACAAGGAGCAUCGUGCACUUAAGAAGAGCAGAAUGAACCUCCAAAUCCAGAGGAGUACAUUCUCAUUUAUAAAACAUAUUUCAGGCAAAUUUAAUCUGACAAUGGGCCAGCUUAAAAAGAACACACAGCAUCAGAGAAAAUAAAGAUAAUGAAGAAUAAACUAGCCAAAUAAACAAAGCAACCAGCUCCCUAGCUUGGGAAGUAAUUUCCUUUAUGAUGCAUUUGUAAGCUCAUGACUACUUCCAGUGCUUGUCAAGACAGGAAGCAGAGCAACUGUGGUCUAGUUUAACCUCCAAAGUAGCUAUUAGGUCCCAAAGAAGGUGCAUUUGCACUUCUGCUUCAGUAAAGCCCAGGAAAUUCUCCUGGCCAAAGGUGAAGGCUGACUGCUUGACUGGAAUCUGCAUGUUAGAGAAAAUCAUGCAUUUUCCAGUGACUCAAGAGCAACUUUCAGCACCAUCAAGAAGCAGGGAAAGUCUUUACAAAUUAGAGAUAAUUCACUUUGGAGGGAAAGUUCAGAAGAACCUUUCUGUAGCUCAGCUGGUUUCCACUGAGGAUCAUUUUUACAGUGCUAUGUAUGCUGCUAGUCUCCAGCUGAGAGAUGUGUUUUACAAGAAAAUAUGCAUUCCUUAAGCAGUAAGUAAGACUCAACAGCAGAAUUAAAAGGAAAAGCUGGCAAAGAACUAAACUGCUUUCUUAGAGAGAUUUGUAUGUAAUUCCUUGUCAGUGUUACAACUUUAAAUGUGCUUUUCCCUUCCCAUUUUCUGUCUGUUCCAUUCCUGGUUUUGACUUGGAUGUAUUACACAAUCUCUCAAAUACUUAUUUUUAAAGCUGACCAUAUUUCCUUUAUUCCACAUCUACUCAUUUUUGAUUGCCACACAUACAGGUCUAGAGAGGCAUCCAAGAACGUAAAGGGCAGAACUGCAAAUUAAGCUACUCUAAGGGAAGCAAAUGAACAAGUAUUUAGGACAACUCCAGAGCCCACUUGUCCCCUACCAAGUGCACUGUACAGUGACACCUCCUCCCAACACUGUACAAAAAAAGUGGGCACACAAUGCCAUGUAUCCUGUGUGGGAGCUCACACCCCAGACUCACAAUGUGUGACUGGCACUGAACUGAAGACUGAACCUACAAUAAGAGAAGUAUGCUUUAAUUGCUUAAUUACAGGAGCUUUGUCUUUGCUGUGUGAUUUCAGGUCGCUGUGACAGCCGCUGUUUUCUGUCUGGUCUGGUUCUCACAGGACUGCCAGGCAACACAACUCCAACCUUGUUAGCCAUCCUAACUCCAGCAGGUUGCUCAACACACCAUCAAAGCUGCAGGGCUCAACCUUCUGGAGGAGUUAAUCCAAAUUAUAAUUCCAUUGCUCUUCACAAAGGAAGUCUACACUGCACAGCUAAUUAGGUUUUAUCUGCGAGAAAUCUCCUUCCUGCCCAGGUAUGCCCAGGCCAGGUCCUGUUCCUAGGGAUAGUGGGUGCAGAACUGGUCUCACUGCACCUGGGCUUCACAUAACUUUGUAGUAGCCAUGAAAGGACGUGUGAGAAGUCUCUCAGUGUCUUUCCUGUAAUUCUCCCAGAAGAAGAAACAGGUUUUCCCAAAACUACUGCCAACAGGACAACUGCACAAAACCCCAAGAACAUGCUCCAGACCCAAAACCAAGCCCAGGAACUUGUACAAAGGAGAGCAGUGGUGAAGGCUACCACAGCCUGCUAACAUGGCAGUUCAGAGCAGCGCUGGACCGCAUGAGCUGGGUGGCACCCAAGGACACUGCCACUCAAGCUGUGCCAACAGAAUUGCUCUGUGCAGCUUGGGUAUUACUUGAAGGAUAGCUAAUGCUAAAAAGAGCUAAUUCUGCAGUGGAGGCAGCCAGGAAAUAAAACCCUGAACUCAGCAUUUUUACACACAAAGAAACAUGGAUAUUCAACUUGAGUUUUAUGUGCAUGAUAAUUUCUUAAUUUGGUAGAAAGUGUAAUUCUCAAUCCAACAUAGGAAAAAAACACUAUUUUGGCUUCUGACUUUUUUGUUUUCUUUCCCAGGUGGCAGACUAUCAGGGCCAUUUUAACAGAUACACUCUACAAAGAUUCUAAUUUGGAAAAACAAAAUGCUUCAGAAUAAACAAAAAAAAAAAAUCCCACCAUGUAAACAGAAAAAAA
Taeniopygia guttata (zebra finch) is the source of this 7692-nucleotide long non-coding RNA. Lineage: Eukaryota; Metazoa; Chordata; Aves; Passeriformes; Estrildidae. The record is from Ensembl.